Molecule: small RNA, 68 nt
Filed under: Mycobacterium saskatchewanense
Lineage: Bacteria; Bacillati; Actinomycetota; Actinomycetes; Mycobacteriales; Mycobacteriaceae
Description: ASdes TB sRNA
Rfam family: ASdes TB sRNA
Source: Rfam by way of RNAcentral
AGUUCGACGGGGUCCACGGCGCGGGUCACCACCAGGUAGUCGCGCAGCGCAGUGCUGUGCCGGGCCUC